GGUCUCUCUACUGAGGAAGGAAGGAAGGACGAAGAUAUCUUCUCAAUUUGAUAAUUCAGAGCUUUCAGAUCGUUUGUAAGAGACUUUGAUCGAUGAGUUGAAAUUAUUGUGGAAUCAAGGUGUGGAAACAUAUGAUGUAUUUCGUAAGCAAAACUUCAUAUUGCGUGCAGCUUUGUUGUGGACUUUAAAUAAUUUUCCUGCUUA
RNAcentral lists this unclassified non-coding RNA (204 nucleotides) under Hevea brasiliensis (rubber tree). The record is from RNAcentral. Lineage: Eukaryota; Viridiplantae; Streptophyta; Magnoliopsida; Malpighiales; Euphorbiaceae.